This 485-nucleotide ribosomal RNA is filed under the name uncultured bacterium. Its description in RNAcentral is "partial 16S ribosomal RNA". It matches the Rfam family "Bacterial small subunit ribosomal RNA", at positions 30 to 504 of the family's 1533-position model. The record is from RNAcentral.
AUUGAACGCUGGCGGCAGGCCUAACACAUGCAAGUCGAACGGUAACAGGAGCAGCUUGCUGCUUUGCUGACGAGUGGCGGACGGGUGAGUAAUGUCUGGGAAACUGCCCGAUGGAGGGGGAUAACUACUGGAAACGGUAGCUAAUACCGCAUAACGUCGCAAGACCAAAGAGGGGGACCUUAGGGCCUCUUGCCAUCGGAUGUGCCCAGAUGGAUUAGCUAGUAGGUGGGGUAACGGCUCACCUAGGCGACGAUCCCUAGCUGGUCUGAGAGGAUGACCAGCCACACUGGAACUGAGACACGGUCCAGACUCCUACGGGAGGCAGCAGUGGGGAAUAUUGCACAAUGGGCGCAAGCCUGAUGCAGCCAUGCCGCGUGUAUGAAGAAGGCCUUCGGGUUGUAAAGUACUUUCAGCGGGGAGGAAGGGAGUAAAGUUAAUACCUUUGCUCAUUGACGUUACCCGCAGAAGAAGCACCGGCUAACUCC